GAUGAACGCUGGCGGCGUGCCUAAUACAUGCAAGUCGAGCGAACGGACGAGAAGCUUGCGUCUCUGAUGUUAGCGGCGGACGGGUGAGUAACACGUGUAUAACCUACCUAUAAGACUGGGAUAACUUCGGGAAACCGGAGCUAAUACCGGAUAAUAUUUUGAACCGCAUGGUUCAAAAGUGAAAGACGGUCUUGCCGUCACUUAUAGAUGGAUCCGCGCUGCAUUAGCUAGUUGGUAAGGUAACGGCUUACCAAGGCAACGAUGCAUAGCCGACAUGAGAGGGUGAUCGGCCACACUGGAACUGAGACACGGUCCAGACUCCUACGGGAGGCAGCAGUAGGGCAUCUUGCGCAAUGGGCGAAAGCCUGACGGAGCAACGCCGCGUGAGUGAUGAAGGUCUUCGGAUCGUAAAACUCUGUUAUUAGGGAAGAACAUAUGUGUAAGUAACUGUGAACAUCUUGACGGUACCUAAUCAGAAAGCCACGGCUAACUACGUG
RNAcentral lists this ribosomal RNA (497 nucleotides) under uncultured bacterium. Its description in RNAcentral is "partial 16S ribosomal RNA". It matches the Rfam family "Bacterial small subunit ribosomal RNA", at positions 28 to 507 of the family's 1533-position model. The record is from RNAcentral.